Molecule: long non-coding RNA, 585 nt
Organism: Mandrillus leucophaeus (drill)
Lineage: Eukaryota; Metazoa; Chordata; Mammalia; Primates; Cercopithecidae
Exons: 2
Source: RefSeq, a predicted model, not a curated record
AGAAUGGACUUUUCAUCCAUGUGGCUGUGAUCAUUUCCUAAAGCAGAGGAAUCUGCAGCCUAAUGACACAUCAGGAAUUGAUGGAGCUCCAGUGGACAGCUUCCAUGAGCAGAUUAGGACUUUCAGAAGAGACACAAGAGGCAUGGCCACACAGAGAUAAAGAUCAUGUGGGGACUAAGUGAAAAGGCAGCCAUCAUAAGCCACAGAGAGAGGACUCAGAAGAAACCAACUCUGCUGACACCUUCAUCUUGAAAGUCUAGCCUCUAGAACUGUGAAAAAAUAAAUACCUGCUGGUAAAAUACCUGGACUGUGGUAUUUUGUUAGGACAGCCCUAGCUAACUAACACAAUUUUAUACACUAAAUAAAGUCCAAUUCAAUUUUAAUUUUGUAGAAAUGGAAAUAAAUAAUUUAAAGAUUUACUUAGUAAAUUACUUCAGAUUGGGAUCAAAUAUAUACAUGAUAUAUGAAAAUGUAAGAAAUGGAUAUUUAAAUAAGUAUACCAGUACAUAAAAAUUCUAGUGCCUGUUUUUGUUCUUUUUUUUUUGAAAGCCACUUAUCCCAACAAUAAAACUGAUGCUCAAAAUA